Molecule: ribosomal RNA, 678 nt
Filed under: Araucarius minor
Lineage: Eukaryota; Metazoa; Arthropoda; Insecta; Coleoptera; Curculionidae
Description: eukaryotic LSU rRNA
Rfam family: Eukaryotic large subunit ribosomal RNA
Source: RNAcentral
UUUUUNGGCNUNNGGUUUUUGGAACCGGCUGGGAAGGCGUGCAUUUUUUUCUUGGUAGGAGUCGCGAUCCGUUGGGCGUCGNUCUAAGGAACGUGUGGAGCCCGCCAGCGGUUAAACGCAAGGUGGACCCGCGUCGCCCGGCCGACUCGCUNGACGGUAUACGAAAAGAUCAAAGGCCGCCGUUACGGCGUUCGGGUCGUGGCAAGCGCGUCAGACGCGUCGGUGAUCGGACUAGUGCCGAUUCUGACCUCUGGCGACUGUUGGCCGCGAAGUUCUCGAACAGACCUCUCGAUCGAUCUGCGACGCUAUAGCUUUGGGUACUUUCAGGACCCGUCUUGAAACACGGACCAAGGAGUCUAGCAUGUGCGCGAGUCAUUGGGAAUCAAUAAACCUAAAGGCGCAAUGAAAGUAAAGGUCUUCCUUGCGAGGACCGAGGGAAGACGGGCGGUUUACCCUUAAAAGUGGCCGCCCCGCAUUCCCGGGGCGUCUCGUUCUCAUCGCGAGAAGAGGCGCACCAAGAGCGUACACGCUGGGACCCGAAAGAUGGUGAACUAUGCCUGGUCAGGACGAAGUCAGGGGAAACCCUGAUGGAGGUCCGUAGCGAUUCUGACGUGCAAAUCGAUCGUCGGAACUGGGUAUAGGGGCGAAAGACUAAUCGAACCAUCUAGUAGCUGGCCC